This 407-nucleotide ribosomal RNA is filed under the name uncultured bacterium. RNAcentral's name for it is "partial 16S ribosomal RNA". It matches the Rfam family "Bacterial small subunit ribosomal RNA", at positions 30 to 526 of the family's 1533-position model. The record is from RNAcentral.
AUUGAACGCUAGCGGGAUGCCUUACACAUGCAAGUCGAACGGAGUGGCGAACGGGUGAGUAAUGUAUAGGAACGUGCCCAGUAGCGGGGGAUAACUACGCGAAAGCGUAGCUAAUACCGCAUACUAUUGGAGCGGCCGAUAGCGGAUUAGGUAGUUGGUGGGGUAACGGCUCACGAAGGCGACGAGCCGUAGAGGGUUUGGGUGGGAGACCCGACACACUGGGACUGAGACACGGCCCAUACUCCUACGGGAGGCAGCAGUGUGGAAUUUUGGACAAUGGGGGAAACCCUUAUCCAGCCAUCCCGCGUGUGCGAUGAAGGCCUUCGGGUUGUAAAGCACUUUUGGCAGGAAAGCGGUACCUGCAGAAUAAGCACCGGCUAACUACGUGCCAGCCGCCGCGGUAAUAC